UUCUUUUACUUGUUUCAGUCUUUCAAUGUUUUGGGGCCUCCUUCCGGUACUGUUUUUAGUGAAGAAACGAGUUGAACGAAGCUGCUCUUCUUCGUGCUUUCUGGCGUGA
Octopus sinensis (East Asian common octopus) is the source of this 109-nucleotide long non-coding RNA. RefSeq lists it as uncharacterized. Lineage: Eukaryota; Metazoa; Mollusca; Cephalopoda; Octopoda; Octopodidae. The record is from RefSeq and is a predicted model, not a curated record. The transcript is spliced from 3 exons.